CUCGUAGGCGGUUCAGUAAGUCGGGUGUGAAAACUCUGGGCUCAACCCAGAGACGCCACCCGAUACUGCUGUGACUUGAGUACGGUAGGGGAGUGGGGAAUUCCUGGUGUAGCGGUAAAAUGCGCAGAUAUCAGGAGGAACACCAGUGGCGAAGGCGCCACUCUGGGCCGUAACUGACGCUGAGGAGCGAAAGCGUGGGUAGCAAAC
This 207-nucleotide ribosomal RNA is filed under the name uncultured bacterium. RNAcentral describes it as "partial 16S ribosomal RNA". It matches the Rfam family "Bacterial small subunit ribosomal RNA", at positions 568 to 773 of the family's 1533-position model. The record is from RNAcentral.